Molecule: non-coding RNA, 968 nt
Filed under: Lyroderma lyra (Indian false vampire)
Lineage: Eukaryota; Metazoa; Chordata; Mammalia; Chiroptera; Megadermatidae
Description: 12S ribosomal RNA
Rfam family: Bacterial small subunit ribosomal RNA
Source: RNAcentral
CAUAGGCUUGGUCCUGGCCUUUCUAUUGACUCCGAGCAAGAUUACACAUGCAAGUAUCCGCCUCCCAGUGAGAGUGCCCUCUAAGUCGUCAACGACUAAAAGGAGCGGGCAUCAAGUACACUACCUAGUAGCUCAUGACGCCUUGCUUAGCCACACCCCCACGGGCAACAGCAGUGACAAAACUUAAGCAAUGAACGAAAGUUCGACUAAGCUAUGCUCUAACAACAAGGGUUGGUCAAUUUCGUGCCAGCCACCGCGGUCAUACGAUUAACCCAAGCCAAUGGAAGCACGGCGUAAGGCGUGUUUAAGGGAUCACAAAAAUAAAGUUAAACCCUGACUAGGCUGUAAAAAGCACCAGCCAGGACGAAAAUAGACUACGAAAGUGACUUUACAACCCCUGAGCACACGAUAGCUAAGACCCAAACUGGGAUUAGAUACCCCACUAUGCUUAGCCUUAAACAUAGAUUACUCUUCAACAAUCUAAUUCGCCAGAGUACUACGGACAACAGUCUAAAACUCAAAGGACUUGGCGGUGCUUCACAUCCCUCUAGAGGAGCCUGUCCUGUAAUCGAUAAACCCCGAUAAACCUCACCAGUCCUUGCUAAUCCAGCCUAUAUACCGCCAUCCUCAGCAAACCCUAAAAAGGAACUACAGUAAGCGCAAACACCAAACGCAAAAACGUUAGGUCAAGGUGUAGCCCAUGGACUGGAAAGAGAUGGGCUACAUUUUCUUGUCCAAGAACAUAACCAACUAACGGAUACUCUUGUGAAAACCAAGAGUGUAAGGAGGAUUUAGUAGUAAGCCAAGAACAGAGAGCUUGACUGAAUUAGGCCAUGAAGCACGCACACACCGCCCGUCACCCUCCUCAAGUAAUAAAGCACAGACAAUACCCUAUUCGUAAGUACUAGAAUACAAGAGGAGAUAAGUCGUAACAAGGUAAGCGUACUGGAAAGUGCGCUUGGACAUAC